ACAACUUUCAACAACGGAUCUCUUGGUUCUGGCAUCGAUGAAGAACGCAGCGAAAUGCGAUAAGUAGUGUGAAUUGCAGAAUUCAGUGAAUCAUCGAAUCUUUGAACGCACAUUGCGCCCUUUGGUAUUCCAAAGGGCAUGCCUGUUCGAGCGUC
RNAcentral lists this ribosomal RNA (155 nucleotides) under Alternaria gaisen. RNAcentral describes it as "5.8S ribosomal RNA". It matches the Rfam family "5.8S ribosomal RNA". Rfam says of the family: 5.8S ribosomal RNA (5.8S rRNA) is a component of the large subunit of the eukaryotic ribosome. Lineage: Eukaryota; Fungi; Ascomycota; Dothideomycetes; Pleosporales; Pleosporaceae. The record is from RNAcentral. RNAcentral also lists the same sequence under 1 other name.